Molecule: ribosomal RNA, 496 nt
Filed under: uncultured bacterium
Lineage: Bacteria
Description: partial 16S ribosomal RNA
Rfam family: Bacterial small subunit ribosomal RNA
Source: RNAcentral
AUUGAACGCUGGCGGAAUGCUUUACACAUGCAAGUCGAACGGUAGAGGGGGCAACCCCUCGAGAGUGGCGAACGGGUGAGUAAUAUAUCGGAACGUGCCCAGUCGUGGGGGAUAACGUAGCGAAAGUUACGCUAACACCGCAUACGAUCUAAGGAGGAAAGCGGGGGAUCGCAAGACCUCGCGCGAUUGGAGCGGCCGAUAUCAGAUUAGGUAGUUGGUGGGGUAAAGGCUCACCAAGCCAACGAUCUGUAGCUGGUCUGAGAGGACGACCGGCCACACUGGAACGGCGACAGUGUCCAGACUCCUACGGGAGGCAGCCGUGGGGAAUUUUGGACAAUGGGCGCAAGUCUGAUCCAGCCAUUCCGCGUGCAGGAUGAAGGCCCUCGGGUUGUAAACUGCUUUUGUACGGAACGAAAAGGUCUCUCUUAAUACGGGGGACUCAUGACGGUACCGUAAGAAUAAGCACCGGCUAACUACGUGCCAGCAGCCGCAGUAA